This 429-nucleotide ribosomal RNA is filed under the name Chloroflexota bacterium. RNAcentral's name for it is "Chloroflexi bacterium partial 16S ribosomal RNA". It matches the Rfam family "Bacterial small subunit ribosomal RNA", at positions 355 to 776 of the family's 1533-position model. Lineage: Bacteria; Bacillati; Chloroflexota. RNAcentral also lists the same sequence under 1 other name. The record is from RNAcentral.
UAGUGAAUCUUCGGCAAUGGACGAAAGUCUGACCGAGCAACGCCGCGUGAGUGAAGAAGGUUUUCGGAUCGUAAAACUCUGUUGUUAGAGAAGAACAAGGACGUUAGUAACUGAACGUCCCCUGACGGUAUCUAACCAGAAAGCCACGGCUAACUACGUGCCAGCAGCCGCGGUAAUACGUAGGUGGCAAGCGUUGUCCGGAUUUAUUGGGCGUAAAGCGAGCGCAGGCGGUUUCUUAAGUCUGAUGUGAAAGCCCCCGGCUCAACCGGGGAGGGUCAUUGGAAACUGGGAGACUUGAGUGCAGAAGAGGAGAGUGGAAUUCCAUGUGUAGCGGUGAAAUGCGUAGAUAUAUGGAGGAACACCAGUGGCGAAGGCGGCUCUCUGGUCUGUAACUGACGCUGAGGCUCGAAAGCGUGGGGAGCAAACAGG